GACGCUGGGAAAGUCAUAACCGAAAAUGAAGAAUUCCUUGCAACAUAACUUAAUGGGCUGCGAAUGGCUGAAGAAAUGAACAAAUGUGGCGUACUUUCAAGCGAUGAUUUAUCUGACAUUCGGAGGAAAUCAGACCGAAAGACAAGAGCAGAGGCUUUUUUGAACAAAAUAACCAGCAGGGGGGAAAUUCAGCUGAAGCUUUCCUAGAGAAACUCAAGAAGGUGGAGUCUAGGAACCAUUUCAUCACUCGCCAUUUAUGGCCGGAAAACGAUGAGGAUUUGUGUUGGAUGGCAAACAAUAUGGAGACAAUAUACCCAUAUAUAAUGGAAUGUCUCCCCCUAGUCACUUUGUCGCAACAUCAGCGUGAACUAGGUUUACCAGAUGAGUGUGUUAACAGUGAAGAUGCUGUUUUAACUGCUACACAAUACAUCAUGAAACAAGAAAAUGAAAUAAAACUUCGAUUUCUUCUCAUACUAUUGGAAAAGGAAAUUGUACACAAGGAUUUGUACACGAGUGUUCGCUCGAAUAUGUCUCAUGACAACAUAGCAAGCGAUGAAAAGCCACCAAGCAAGAAUACUCCUCAGACCGAUACUUCCGCCCGAGUCCAGCUUGGACAGUGUAUCGUCGUAAAAGAAAAU
Long non-coding RNA from Mya arenaria, 638 nucleotides. RefSeq lists it as uncharacterized. NCBI's taxonomy places the organism in Eukaryota, Metazoa, Mollusca, Bivalvia, Myida, Myidae. The record is from RefSeq and is a predicted model, not a curated record. The transcript has 3 exons.